CUCGCUUUUGUCAGAAGAAAACAAUUGUUGUCACUAGACACUAGAAUCAUGGUUCAUGAUAAACAUCAAAGAAAUACAAUAUGUACUGAAUUACAAAGAAACGACAAAGGAGUAGUGCUUCAGACACAAUCACAAAACGGAAUGGCUAGAAUAAGUCAGAAGUAUGGAACCAACAGUACAUCGAAUGGUCUGGAAUAUGAAACGGUGGUGGUACUCCAAUGAUGAGGACGAACAUUACGCCUUAUGAUGAUAAUGAAGAUGACCACAAAGAUGAUGAUGUCGUUUCUGGUAGCCUCGUUUUUAACAGACCGAUAAAAGUGCACGAUCAACGUGUAGUAGCUUAGCUUAUGUCGCUAUUUAUUUUUACGUUGCUAAUAAUGAAAACCGUAGAAUAUAUGAAAUUUUACGUAAAAUUGGAAAGCAACUUAUAAUUUAACAAAGAAAUUGUAUUAUAAUUAACUUGCACUUUUUUUAAACAAUCUCAUAUGUAUGUGGUGGUGUACAAGAAUUUUCAAGUUUAAAAAUUUACAUAAUAUAAAUAUGCAGUUAAAAAAUCAGGUUUAAGAGUCUUCUCUAAUUUUGCAAACGAACACGCAUGACGUGCAAACCAAGCAAAUCGAAACUGGUUUAGUUUUAUCAUGAUCGAGAUCAAGAUAAAAAUAGAAGAUGAUUAAAGAUUAUCACGUUGCAAGAUAGUUUUGCAUGCCAAUAUGCAGGUUAUUCGACGAAACCAAGCGCGAGACAUCGAGAUUAAUACGAAUAAGCAAUCCUGUUAUAAUCUAAUUAAUCGUUUGUCUCCCAUAAUGGUCUUACUGAACGUUGACUUAUCGUAUCAUAAUGCCUUGCUCGUGUUGAAGGAAUCGUGUCAAAGGUUAGAAGGAAAGUCUUCACUGCAACCACCUGUUGUAUAAAUUAUCCGGCACUAUUUGUGAUUCACCAAACAUUCAUGCUAUAUCUUUUUCGAUUUUUCGAUUGAUUAUUCUUGAUAGAUCCUAUUAAAAGUAUAUGGUAAAUCUAAGAGAUUGAUGAGAUAAAAUUUUUAUUAUACAUCGCUUUAAUAAUGCGAUUUAUAAAAGUCGUAUGAUGUAAGCAAAGGAUUAAUUCGAGGUAUUAAUAUACAGGAAUACGUGUAAUAAUGCUUAAUAAUCAUUAGAAAGUUAUACAGGAUGAUAUCUAAAUAAAUUUGUAAAAAUUAAAUAAUUAUAGUAAGGUAACUGAUCUUCAGGUGUAUACGUAUUACGUAUUACGUAUUUAUAUUUUCUUUGAUCUUAAUUAAGGCUUUUGUUGAUUCAAUUGCAUUAAGUUUAAAGAAAACUAAAUGUAUUAAUUCAUAUAAUAAAGAAUUGUUAGAAGAAUAUUUAAUAAUCUAAAGAAUAUUUAAUGAAUGAAAAACUUAUACUGAAUUUUUAUAAUUCAAUAUAAAGAAUAUAAAAAAAGAAUAUAUGCUUCUGUUGGUUAUUGUAGGCUAUUAAUGACGCUUUCCAUAUAAUUUGAAGUAUUAAUAUUAAUAAGGGAAAUCUAAAAAGUAUUAAGUGAUAUAUUAUAGAUUGAAAAUAUGAAUUUUACAGAAAAAAGAACUUAUUGGCAUUAAAAAUGAUUUGAAUUUAAUGAAUUUAACAAAAUGAUUAUAUUAACUUUCCAUCAAUUUAAAGAGCACUUUUACUUCACAUGAAAAUAACUUAUUCAUCACAAGUAUCUUCAUAAAAAAAUAAAAAACCUGUUUUCCGAACCUUUCACUUGGUCAUUCGAAAGUUCAAACCGAACUAAUAAAUUUACAGUGAGGAAAAGAAGAAGGAUUUACUGAAUGCAAGUAAAAUGCAUCAAUGCAUAAACAAUAAGUUUCGUGAUUUAUGUUCGGAAAUCUCAUAAGAAGAUGAAUUUAUUAGUCAUGAAAAAUACUUUUAAGGAUUUCACAUAUGUAGAAAUUAUACACUGAAUAAUUCAUUAAGAUUUAUAUUUACUGAUAAGAGUUGAACGAAGUUUCUAUAUCUCCACUUUCAUGGAAGAAAAAUAUCAAUAUCCUAUGAAAUCAUGCUACAAUAAUCAAUAUAUAUAAUAA
Apis mellifera (honey bee) is the source of this 2059-nucleotide long non-coding RNA. RefSeq lists it as uncharacterized. NCBI's taxonomy places the organism in Eukaryota, Metazoa, Arthropoda, Insecta, Hymenoptera, Apidae. The transcript has 3 exons. The record is from RefSeq and is a predicted model, not a curated record.